Molecule: ribosomal RNA, 419 nt
Filed under: Shigella flexneri
Lineage: Bacteria; Pseudomonadati; Pseudomonadota; Gammaproteobacteria; Enterobacterales; Enterobacteriaceae
Description: partial 23S ribosomal RNA
Rfam family: Bacterial large subunit ribosomal RNA
Source: RNAcentral
AAAGAACCUGAAACCGUGUACGUACAAGCAGUGGGAGCACGCUUAGGCGUGUGACUGCGUACCUUUUGUAUAAUGGGUCAGCGACUUAUAUUCUGUAGCAAGGUUAACCGAAUAGGGGAGCCGAAGGGAAACCGAGUCUUAACUGGGCGUUAAGUUGCAGGGUAUAGACCCGAAACCCGGUGAUCUAGCCAUGGGCAGGUUGAAGGUUGGGUAACACUAACUGGAGGACCGAACCGACUAAUGUUGAAAAAUUAGCGGAUGACUUGUGGCUGGGGGUGAAAGGCCAAUCAAACCGGGAGAUAGCUGGUUCUCCCCGAAAGCUAUUUAGGUAGCGCCUCGUGAAUUCAUCUCCGGGGGUAGAGCACUGUUUCGGCAAGGGGGUCAUCCCGACUUACCAACCCGAUGCAAACUGCGAAUAC